CCUACGGGAGGCAGCAGUGGGGAAUUUUGGACAAUGGGCGCAAGCCUGAUCCAGCAAUGCCGCGUGAGUGAAGAAGGCCUUCGGGUUGUAAAGCUCUUUUGUCAGGGAAGAAACGGUGGGGGCUAAUAUCCUCCACUAAUGACGGUACCUGAAGAAUAAGCACCGGCUAACUACGUGCCAGCAGCCGCGGUAAUACGUAGGGUGCAAGCGUUAAUCGGAAUUACUGGGCGUAAAGCGUGCGCAGGCGGUUUUGUAAGUCUGUCGUGAAAGCCCCGGGCUCAACCUGGGAAUUGCGAUGGAGACUGCAAGGCUUGAAUCUGGCAGAGGGGGGUAGAAUUCCACGUGUAGCAGUGAAAUGCGUAGAGAUGUGGAGGAACACCGAUGGCGAAGGCAGCCCCCUGGGUCAAGAUUGACGCUCAUGCACGAAAGCGUGGGGAGCAAACAGGAUUAGAUACCCUGGUAGUCCACGCCCUAAACGAUGUCUACUAGUUGUCGGGUUUUAAUUAACUUGGUAACGCAGCUAACGCGUGAAGUAGACCGCCUGGGGAGUACGGUCGCAAGAUUAAAACUUAAAUGAAUUGACGGUGAGAGNGCGAGACGACGACGAGGAGAGG
RNAcentral lists this ribosomal RNA (614 nucleotides) under uncultured bacterium. RNAcentral describes it as "bacterial SSU rRNA". It matches the Rfam family "Bacterial small subunit ribosomal RNA", at positions 338 to 945 of the family's 1533-position model. The record is from RNAcentral.